UACGAAGGGGGCUAGCGUUGUUCGGAAUCACUGGGCGUAAAGGGCGCGUAGGCGGCCAUUCAAGUGACGGGUGAAAGCCCUCGGCUUAACCGAGGAACUGCCUGUCAGACUGGAUGGCUCGAGACCGGGAGAGGUGAGUGGAAUUCCCAGUGUAGCGGUGAAAUGCGUAGAUAUUGGGAGGAACACCAGUGGCGAAGGCGGCUCACUGGACCGGAACUGACGCUGAGGCGCGAAAGCGUGGGGAGCAAACAGG
RNAcentral lists this ribosomal RNA (253 nucleotides) under uncultured bacterium. RNAcentral's name for it is "partial 16S ribosomal RNA". It matches the Rfam family "Bacterial small subunit ribosomal RNA", at positions 524 to 776 of the family's 1533-position model. The record is from RNAcentral.